CAGUCGCCGCGGUAAUACAGAGGGUGCGAGCGUUAAUCGGAUUUACUGGGCGUAAAGCGUGCGUAGGCGGCUUCUUAAGUCGGAUGUGAAAUCCCUGAGCUUAACUUAGGAAUUGCAUUCGAUACUGGGAAGCUAGAGUAUGGGAGAGGAUGGUAGAAUUCCAGGUGUAGCGGUGAAAUGCGUAGAGAUCUGGAGGAAUACCGAUGGCGAAGGCAGCCAUCUGGCCUAAUACUGACGCUGAGGUACGAAAGCAUGGGGAGCAAACAGGAUUAGAUACCCCGGUAGUCCCUGUCUCUUAACA
Molecule: ribosomal RNA, 301 nt
Filed under: uncultured bacterium
Lineage: Bacteria
Description: partial 16S ribosomal RNA
Rfam family: Bacterial small subunit ribosomal RNA
Source: RNAcentral